GACGAACGCUGGCGGCGUGCUUAACACAUGCAAGUCGAACGGAAAGGCCCUGCUUUUGUGGGGUGCUCGAGUUGCGAACGGGUGAGUAACACGUGAGUAACCUGCCCUUGACUUUGGGAUAACUUCAGGAAACUGGGGCUAAUACCGGAUAGGAGCUCCUGCUGCAUGGUGGGGGUUGGAAAGUUUCGGCGGUUGGGGAUGGACUCGCGGCUUAUCAGCUUGUUGGUGGGGUAGUGGCUUACCAAGGCUUUGACGGGUAGCCGGCCUGAGAGGGUGACCGGCCACAUUGGGACUGAGCUACGGCACAGACUCCUACGGGAGGCAGCAGUGCAGAAUAUUGCACAAUGGGCGGAAGCCUGAUGCAGCAACGCAGCGUGCGGGAUGACGGCCUUCGGGUUGUAAACCGCUUUCGCCUGUGACGAAGCGUGAGUGACGGUAAUGGGUAAAGAAGCACCGGCUAACUCCGUG
This 468-nucleotide ribosomal RNA is filed under the name uncultured bacterium. Its description in RNAcentral is "partial 16S ribosomal RNA". It matches the Rfam family "Bacterial small subunit ribosomal RNA", at positions 28 to 507 of the family's 1533-position model. The record is from RNAcentral.